CCUACGGGAGGCAGCAGUGAGGAAUAUUGGUCAAUGGGCUAAGGCCUGAACCAGCCAAGUCGCGUGAGGGAAGACGGUCCUAUGGAUUGUAAACCUCUUUUGUCGGGGAGCAACGAGACCACGUGUGGCCGAAUUGAGAGUACCCGAAGAAAAAGCAUCGGCUAACUCCGUGCCAGCAGCCGCGGUAAUACGGAGGAUGCGAGCGUUAUCCGGUUUUAUUGGGUUUAAAGGGUGCGUAGGCGGAAGAUUAAGUCAGCGGUAAAAUCGAGGGGUUCAACCCCAUUAAGCCGUUUAUACUGGCGAUCUUGAGUGCGCGAGAGGUAUGCGGAAUGCGUGGUGUAGCGGUGAAAUGCUUAGAUAUCACGCAGAACUCCGAUUGCGAAGGCAGCAUACUGGCGCCCGACUGACGCUGAGGCACGAAAGCGUGGGGAUCGAACAGGAUUAGAUACCCCGGUAGUC
This 459-nucleotide ribosomal RNA is filed under the name uncultured bacterium. RNAcentral's name for it is "partial 16S ribosomal RNA". It matches the Rfam family "Bacterial small subunit ribosomal RNA", at positions 338 to 795 of the family's 1533-position model. The record is from RNAcentral.